AUUGAACGCUGGCGGCAGGCUUAACACAUGCAAGUCGAGCGGGGAAAGGUAGCUUGCUACCUGACCUAGCGGCGGACGGGUGAGUAAUGCUUAGGAAUCUGCCUAUUAGUGGGGGACAACAUCUCGAAAGGGAUGCUAAUACCGCAUACGUCCUACGGGAGAAAGCAGGGGACCUUCGGGCCUUGCGCUAAUAGAUGAGCCUAAGUCGGAUUAGCUAGUUGGUGGGGUAAAGGCCUACCAAGGCGACGAUCUGUAGCGGGUCUGAGAGGAUGAUCCGCCACACUGGGACUGAGACACGGCCCAGACUCCUACGGGAGGCAGCAGUAGGGAAUAUUGGACAAUGGGGGGAACCCUGAUCCAGCCAUGCCGCGUGUGUGAAGAAGGCCUUUUGGUUGUAAAGCACUUUAAGCGAGGAGGAGGCUACCGAGAUUAAUACUCUUGGAUAGUGGACGUUACUCGCAGAAUAAGCACCGGCUAACUCUGUG
This 485-nucleotide ribosomal RNA is filed under the name uncultured bacterium. RNAcentral's name for it is "partial 16S ribosomal RNA". It matches the Rfam family "Bacterial small subunit ribosomal RNA", at positions 30 to 507 of the family's 1533-position model. The record is from RNAcentral.